This 84-nucleotide transfer RNA is filed under the name Aminivibrio sp. RNAcentral's name for it is "tRNA-Leu". It matches the Rfam family "tRNA". Rfam says of the family: Transfer RNA (tRNA) molecules are approximately 80 nucleotides in length. RNAcentral also lists the same sequence under 1 other name. The record is from RNAcentral. Lineage: Bacteria; Thermotogati; Synergistota; Synergistia; Synergistales; Aminobacteriaceae.
GCGAGAGUGGUGGAACGGCAUACACGUCAGACUUAGGAUCUGAUGCCUCAGGGCUUGGGGGUUCGAGUCCCCCCUCUCGCACCA